This is a long non-coding RNA of Bradysia coprophila, 158 nucleotides long. The record is from RefSeq and is a predicted model, not a curated record. Lineage: Eukaryota; Metazoa; Arthropoda; Insecta; Diptera; Sciaridae.
UUGGGAGUAGAUUCUAGUCGUCAUUCUAAAACAUUCCAGAAAAAAAAAUUUGGGGGGAACGGGCCUCGUUUGGGAGCUAGCGCUCCUCGAAGUUACCAUAUAAGUCCCAUAUAAGAACACCUUUAAGUGUGUGUGUAGUAAAACAACUUUGUUCUACU